AUGAACGCUAGCGGCAGGCCUAACACAUGCAAGUCGAGGGGUAACAGGAGAGCUUGCUCUCGCUGACGACCGGCGCACGGGUGCGGAACGCGUAUGGAACCUACCUCAAUCAGGGGGAUAGCCCAGGGAAACUUGGAUUAAUACCCCAUAGUAUUGUUUUAUUGCAUGAUAGAACAAUUAAAACUUCGGUGGAUUGAGAUGAGCAUGCGUCCUAUUAGCUUGUUGGUGAGGUAAUGGCUCACCAAGGCUACGAUAGGUAGGGGGCCUGAGAGGGUGAUCCCCCACACUGGUACUGAGACACGGACCAGACUCCUACGGGAGGCAGCAGUGAGGAAUAUUGGACAAUGGGCGAAAGCCUGAUCCAGCCAUGCCGCGUGCAGGAUGACGGCCCUAUGGGUUGUAAACUGCUUUUAUACGGGAAUAAACCUCUCUACGUGUAGAGAGCUGAAGGUACCGUAAGAAUAAGGACCGGCUAACUCCGUGCCAGCAGCUCUGUUAACACGGAGGAUCCAAGCGUUAUCCGGAUUUAUUGGGUUUAAAGGGUCCGCAGGCGGAAUAUUAAGUCAGUGGUGAAAGCCUACAGCUUAACUGUAGCACUGCCAUUGAUACUGGUAUUCUUGAGUAUGGUUGAAGUGGGCGGAAUACGUCAUGUAGCGGUGAAAUGCAUAGAUAUGACGUAGAACACCUAUUGCGAAGGCAGCUCACUAAGCCAUUACUGACGCUCAGGGACGAAAGCGUGGGUAGCAAACAGGAUUAGAUACCCUGGUAGUCCACGCCGUAAACGAUGAUAACUCGCUGUUGGCGAUAUACAGUCAGCGGCCAAGCGAAAGCGUUAAGUUAUCCACCUGGGGAGUACGCUCGCAAGAGUGAAACUCAAAGGAAUUGACGGGGGCCCGCACAAGCGGUGGAGCAUGUGGUUUAAUUCGAUGAUACGCGAGGAACCUUACCUGGGCUUAAAUGUAUUUUGACAGGCUGGGAAACCAGUCCUUCUUCGGACAAUUUACAAGGUGCUGCAUGGUUGUCGUCAGCUCGUGCUGUGAGGUGUCGGGUUAAGUCCCAUAACGAGCGCAACCCCUAUCCUUAGUUGCCAGCGAGUAAUGUCGGGGCUCUAAGGAAACUGCCGGUGCAAACCGUGAGGAAGGUGGGGAUGACGUCAAAUCAUCACGGCCCUUACGUCCAGGGCUACACACGUGCUACAAUGGCGCAUACAAAGGGCAGCUACAUGGUGACAUGAUGCUAAUCUCUAAAGUGCGUCUCAGUUCGGAUCGAAGUCUGCAACUCGACUUCGUGAAGCUGGAAUCGCUAGUAAUCGCGUAUCAGCAAUGACGCGGUGAAUACGUUCCCGGGCCUUGUACACACCGCCCGUCAAGCCAUGGAAGCUGGGAGUGCCUGAAGUCGGUGACCGCAAGGAGCUGCCUAGGGUAAAACUAGUAACUAGGGCUA
Molecule: ribosomal RNA, 1443 nt
Filed under: uncultured prokaryote
Description: partial 16S ribosomal RNA
Rfam family: Bacterial small subunit ribosomal RNA
Source: RNAcentral